Meleagris gallopavo (turkey) is the source of this 1236-nucleotide non-coding RNA. Lineage: Eukaryota; Metazoa; Chordata; Aves; Galliformes; Phasianidae. The record is from RefSeq and is a predicted model, not a curated record.
GUUGGAGAUCCCUCCCUUGUGGAGUUUCUAUUGCAAGCCUAGAUCUUCAGAGACAGUUUCACAGUCUGACUGGGCAGGAGGUUCAUAUGAUGCCCAGGUAGGAUGCUCAUGGCAUGGCUGAGGGCCAGAGCCCUGCUGCUCCGAAGGAGGAAUAACUUCUGCAGCCCAGGAAUGAAUGCUGGAGACCUAACCUUGUUACUGAUGGGGACUCAUCAUCAGUGUCCCCACCAGAAUGUGGCAUCUGAGACAACUGUCCUGUGUGAGCUCUGGGCAUUGUUCUGACUGUUUAGAUUUUGUUUCACCACUUCAGUCCAAAGCUAUGUUUUAUAGAUGGCAUCUGCAGCCACUGGCCUACUGAGGGUCUUGGAUUUGAGGUGGAUGAGCAUCUACUGAUCAGCUCUUAUUGCCAUGGAGCAUCUCUGACUACUGUGGUCAUCUCCAGCAAUUUAGGAUCUAAACAACACACAAAACCUCCCUGACUGAUCUGGAGGCUACCCAGAUUAUUUUGGAUGAUUUCUUCAGGGCUCUGACAGUCAAUGCUUGGCGAUCAGUGUUCUUAGAGCCCAAUCUUUGUACUGGGAGUGUGUCACUGGCAACAAGUCGCCCUUGGUGCUUACAGUAUCCCAACCCACACCUGUAGCUUCACCUGGAGAUGCUGAGAACGGUUGUGUGAAUGGGGAGAAGAGAACACAGCUGCUGGAUCUGACAGAGCAUCACGUGUAGCUUUGGACUGAUGUCAGUAACCCAGAAGUUCUACUGCUGAGCUCAGCCCACAAGCUGAGCCCUGGUGCAGGGAGGAGGGCUGUAUUACCACUAAAGGGGUGUUGGGCUCCCAGCAAGGUCUCAAGAGAGGAUCUCAACUCUCCCACCUGCUGUCUUUGGCUCAGAGGAAAUGCGUGAAGAUCUCCCCAUCUCCUUCUGCAGGGGCUGUGACUGGGGACUUUUGGGGCUUACCCCAGCUGUGGUCUGACCCUACCCAGGCAGCUUUGGUGCUCUCUGCCCCUGUGGUGUUACGUGCUGCAAUGGUAACCCAAGUGGUGCCCACCGGCUGUGGUCAGUGCUGCUCAGAGCAUUGGGGCCAUACUAGUCCUUGCAGGCUGCUGUAAUUCACUUUAAAGCCAUGCUGUAAGGCAGCCCCAUGGGGAUAUUCCCCCUCUCAGGGGCUGUCAGGAGACAGCAAGACAUGUUGGACUCGUUCAUGUGUCACCUUGUUCUGGUACAGACAGCUUUCCCAGU